UCUUUAGGUCUUUAAGUGAUAUGUCUAACUUGCACGAUCAUGUAUACACAUAAGAUGUGAUCCGGGACUUGAUCAAAGAGUCUUCAAUACUCCUACAACAUCUCAAGUAAUUGUUGUAUGGGUCGAAGAUGAUGAAAAUGCCAAUGUUCAUGUUCGUGACAUUACUAUAUAUGGCCAUUCUGGUGAUUCAUAUAGAGUUCAUUAUUAUUAUGGUUGUUAUGAUCCUUUACUUUUUCCAUAUGAGGAAUCUGGUUGGCAUGAAGGCAUUCGAAGAUGUAGAAGCAUGUACUUUGAGCCUGAAUUCGUUGAAUUUCCAAGCACAGUUACCUCUGCAGCUGAAUUUAUCGAAAAAGAAAAUCAAGUGCUUAACGAAACAAAGAAACGGUCUCACGUUUCCCGUCGAGAAUAUUAUUUAUGAAAAUUGCAAAUUAGGCCUUUUGGUAAGUCUAUUUUGCUUCACGCUGGUAGAUUGUUUCAACAGUACGUUGUAGGUAUGUAUAUUAAGAUUGAAACUGUAAGGUUAGACUAUUUUUGUAACAACCAAAAGCAAAUUCGUGCUGAACUUUACCAAGGUAUUGUAGGCAGCGUUGAAAAUGGAGAAACAAGGGAUUACAAAAUUGGACGAAAAUUUGUUUUGCC
This is a long non-coding RNA of Olea europaea var. sylvestris, 639 nucleotides long. RefSeq lists it as uncharacterized. The transcript has 2 exons. NCBI's taxonomy places the organism in Eukaryota, Viridiplantae, Streptophyta, Magnoliopsida, Lamiales, Oleaceae. The record is from RefSeq and is a predicted model, not a curated record.